This 83-nucleotide transfer RNA is filed under the name Fimbriimonadaceae bacterium. RNAcentral describes it as "tRNA-His". Lineage: Bacteria; Bacillati; Armatimonadota; Fimbriimonadia; Fimbriimonadales; Fimbriimonadaceae. The record is from RNAcentral.
AAUGGCUCUUGAUCAGGCAAGAUACGCCUUUUUUACCACCAGGUUGUGAUCCUGGCUGUCGCGGGUUCGAGUCCCGUCAGCCA